AGUGAACGCUGGCGGUAGGCCUAACACAUGCAAGUCGAACGGCAGCACAGUAAGAGCUUGCUCUUACGGGUGGCGAGUGGCGGACGAGUGAGGAAUACAUCGGAAUCUACUUUUUCGUGGGGGAUAACGUAGGGAAACUUACGCUAAUACCGCAUACGACCUACGGGUGAAAGCAGGGGAUCUUCGGACCUUGCGCGAUUGAAUGAGCCGAUGUCAGAUUAGCUAGUUGGCGGGGUAAAGGCCCACCAAGGCGACGAUCCGUAGCUGGUCUGAGAGGAUGAUCAGCCACACUGGAACUGAGACACGGUCCAGACUCCUACGGGAGGCAGCAGUGGGGAAUAUUGGACAAUGGGCGCAAGCCUGAUCCAGCCAUACCGCGUGGGUGAAGAAGGCCUUCGGGUUGUAAAGCCCUUUUGUUGGGAAAGAAAAGCAGCAGGUUAAUACCCCGCUGUUCUGACGGUACCCAAAGAAUAAGCACCGGCUAACUUCGUG
Molecule: ribosomal RNA, 492 nt
Filed under: uncultured bacterium
Lineage: Bacteria
Description: partial 16S ribosomal RNA
Rfam family: Bacterial small subunit ribosomal RNA
Source: RNAcentral